GCUGCCGGCCAGGUUAUCGCUCCGCUCCGCGGGGAGGAAAGUCUGGACAGCACAGGGCAAUGCACCGGUGAAGAGCCGGGUAUUCCGGAGCUCCCGGAUCAAGGUCCGGGACAGGCCAGGAUAACAGAAAGUGCCACAGAAAAUUACGGCCCCUUCCGGGGUUACGGUGAAAACGUGAGGUAAGAGCUCACGGUUAUGCCUGGUAACAGGUAUAACGGGUAAACCUUGCAUGCUGAAAUGCCACAUAAACCAUCGGUUGAAGGCGGCCCGCCUGAUCCCUGGUGAAAGUCAGGGAACGAUGGAGGGUAGGCAGAUUGAUCCGCCGGGCAACCGGCAGGACAGAUAAAUGAUAGCCGCCUGCUUCGGCAGGAACAGAAUCCGGCUUAUGGCCGGCAGCAUUU
Molecule: non-coding RNA, 401 nt
Organism: Sphingobacteriales bacterium 44-61
Lineage: Bacteria; Pseudomonadati; Bacteroidota; Sphingobacteriia; Sphingobacteriales
Source: Rfam